AUGAUGUUGAAAUGGAUGCGUGCUGCAGGAGCAGCAGAGGCGUCGUGUGAGCCUUGGGUUCUUAUCAAUUCGUUCGUGCGUGCCCUUGGUCGCAUGCGCGCCUCAGCAGGGCCAGGGAAGCAGUGUCAGGUGGAUCCUGGAGGAGCACUGGUGUGGGAUCCGCUGCUGCCAGUGGUUACAGACGGCGGCGACGACGACGAAGACUGUCCCGUCCUCUGGAACAGUGGAUGCAUUGAGCUUGAGAUGACGAUCCGCCACUCCAUCCAUGAUUACUGUUUUCCCCCUUCUUUUUGUGGAGAUGAUAUCAGUACUCUUUAUCAAUGCUGUAAUAACCAAGGUGCAUGUGUCACUCGCUCAAUCAAGUGUGUAACGGACCCUGCUUAA
This 384-nucleotide ribosomal RNA is filed under the name Triticum aestivum (bread wheat). RNAcentral's name for it is "partial small subunit ribosomal RNA". Lineage: Eukaryota; Viridiplantae; Streptophyta; Magnoliopsida; Poales; Poaceae. The record is from RNAcentral.